UACAGAGGGGGUAAGCGUUGUUCGGAAUUACUGGGCGUAAAGGGCGCGUAGGCGGCCAACUAAGUCAGACGUGAAAUCCCUCAGCUUAACCGGGGAACUGCGUCUGAUACUGGAUGGCUUGAGUUUGGGAGAGGGAUGCGGAAUUCCAGGUGUAGCGGUGAAAUGCGUAGAUAUCUGGAGGAACACCGGUGGCGAAGGCGGCAUCCUGGACCAACACUGACGCUGAGUGAGCGAAAGCCAGGGGAGCAAACGGG
Molecule: ribosomal RNA, 254 nt
Filed under: uncultured bacterium
Lineage: Bacteria
Description: partial 16S ribosomal RNA
Rfam family: Bacterial small subunit ribosomal RNA
Source: RNAcentral